Molecule: RNA transcript, 5249 nt
Organism: Scylla paramamosain (green mud crab)
Lineage: Eukaryota; Metazoa; Arthropoda; Malacostraca; Decapoda; Portunidae
Gene name: protein AAR2 homolog
Exons: 2
Source: RefSeq, a predicted model, not a curated record
UCCAAUAUUUUUUUUUUUUUUAUUUUCCUGAAUGACUUAGUUUGGCUUCUGUAGUAAGUUUUUAUGGUUUCUAAAAAUAUUUUGUUGCUUUUGAAGUGUUUUUCUUGCUUCAGUUAAGUAAAUGUACUGGAUUUUCUGUUGUUAUCAGCGUAAAUAAAAAGCGGUUUUUACGGUUAUUUUUACCCAGCCUGAUUCUUGGCUCUUUUAUUUGAGGUUUUAAUGAAGAUUUUAUUGCUUCAAAAAUUCGUUUAUGAUAUCUGAAGUGUUUUGCGUUCCUGUUGAGUUAAGUAUGUGGACUUUGAAUAGCCUUAUGGUGCCGUUAAAAGUGGUAAUUUCGUCAAUUUUUGAUUAUUUUAUUUCUCUAUUUGAGCUUGUAACUAACUUUGCAAUGCUUGAAAAAAUAGUUCAGAUUUUUUAAAGUGUUUUUUUAUCGGUGUAAUGUGAAAUGGGUGGACUUUUCAGUGUUUUUAAUGGUGUCAAAGUUCCAACACUUUUUCCAUAUUUCAUAUUAAUAUUUUUUAACAAGUACUCAGGCUGGAGAUGUUUUGAUGUUGUGAAAAUUAAUUAAAGUAAUUGUCAAGUCAGAAUAUAUAAGGCAUUCGAUCCUAGCUUAAUUUUUUCUAGAGGUCAAUUUCAAAAUGAAAUACGUUACGUACGUAAGCCAGUGGGCUGGCGGGAGCUCGCCUGUGACGUCAUCAACGACUCAGGACACCCGGCUCCAGUGUCUCCUCGGCAAUAUUUACCAUCCCUCAAGACCUCUUCGUUGACACUGUAGAGUCCAACAACUCCCUUGCCUCUGCACUGACCUGUCUCUUCGCCAACACUGAGGACAGCACUGCCCGCCUGUCACCUCCCUUGGUCCUUGAGGCUCAUCGCUUUAAGGACCACCUCUCUGCCAAGUUCGAGUGGGAUCUGACACUUACGGACGAGGGGGAGUACGCGCUGGUGGUGGUUGAUGUGACUUGAGAUGUGGGGGGUGUUUGGGGGUGUGUUCUGCAAUGAGGGAAGGAGGGAAGGGGUAUGUUUGUAGGUGUUUGUUUGUGUGUGUAUGAUUUUUUUUUUCUUGAUUUUUUUCUCUUCUCUUAUUUUUUUCUUGCUCCUCUUUCUUCUUUCUCUUCUUUGUGUGUGUGUGUGUGUGUGUGUGUGUGUGUGUGUGUGUGUGUUUUGUAAAGAGAGAGGGAUAUGAGAUGCCGUUGUCCAUCUUCAAAUAUAUUGUAUAUUCAAAUAUAUUGCAUGUUUUGGGCGUCUGUGUUUGGGAUGUUUUAGGAAGGGUGAUAUUUUUGUUUUUAUAUAUAUAUAUAUAUAUAUAUAUAUAUAUAUAUAUAUAUAUAUAUAUAUAUAUAUAUAUAUAUAUAUAUAUAUAUAUAUAUAUAUGUAUGUAUAUAUGCAGAUCCAAGAUGUCUCAAGUAUAAAAAUUUGUGCAUGUCUGUGGUCCUGCUGUGCCCUACUCUCACCAAACAAUUGCUUGUUUUCAACAGAUCAUGGUAUAUUAUAGUGAAAAUUGCUGAUUCCACAAAAGUUACCUGAAACAUUGUAAUAUUAACUACUGCACAGUACUAUAGCUGUUGUUUAGAAUGGUGUGCUCCAGAUUUCUGCCUCAGUCCCAUGUAUAAAUCUGAUAUUUGUCUUGAUGUAUAAGUAGGUGUCUGGGUCCCUGGAAGCAUCUGAUUUAUCUGAUGUCUGAAAUAUGGACAUCAGGUUUAUAGAGGUUUUACUGUUGUUCAUUUUCCAUAAGUAGUGUACCUUUCUUGCAGUAUUAAAGCUCACAGUGUAGUCAUAUUGUUCAUGUAGCUUAGGGUAUUACAAAUAUAAUUUGUGAAUUGUAAACUACCUCCUGUCGUACUGCCUGGUGUAAGAGGCAGGACGUUGUAGUGCAUUGGAGGGCAUCUUGAGUUAUUAUUGUUGUUAAUGUUGAUUCAUCCAGCUUUGCACUAGUCGCAAGCUUUUAAGAAAUCAUUAUUGUGAAGCAAGUUACUUCUAGUUGGCUAAUAAUUGUUGUGUUCUCAGAAUUUAGUCAGUGAUUACUUUUAAGGUGUGGUUGUUGUGUGUGCUCCUGCAGCAGGGAGGCUUACAUCACUGCUGUCCUGCAUCACCAAGGCAGCCACUGUGAGUCUGACACCCAGGGACACAGGAACACUGCAGCACCCACCACUGGUUACUGACGCCUUCACUCCCUUGUUGGUCUACAUAUUCCUAUGAUAUUUUAAAAUGUGUGGCAGAUUUAUAUUAUUUAUUAGAGUUUAAGAUAAGUAAGAUAAAAGGUGAUAUCUGUUUGGAUAAUCCAGUACCUUAUAAAUAAGUUAGACUUUUGAUAUAUAUAAGAGUUUGCCGCACAUUUCAAGACAAGCUGGGAACAUAACCAGCAGGUGAGGGCAUCAGUGGUGACCUUGUUGCUGUUCUCCCAUGUCCUUUGUGACAGAAUUACUGGGACACACUUGGUGACAGAUUGCUGUGGUGGAGGGUGUGCUCACCUGCUGCUGGGGGAAUUAGUUCAAAUCCUGGACUCCUGAAACCUAUUGAAGGGAUUAUACAGUCAGGUGGAGAUAUCCGGGGAACUGGUAUGAAUAUAUCAGUGCCUGGACACAGCUCAUACUGCAAUGUGGAGAUUCACAUUACAUGAUAAAAUAUACUUGUAAGCGUCAGUUUUUAUAUGGAUGUAGAGUAGCAGGAUGGAGCUCAAGGCAGGAGUUCAAAUCUGACUCUUUUCUACCUUUACUUAGUGAUCUGGAUGUGCUGAGUUGUGUAACCCUUCCUCUGCCUUGCCACUGCCACACGCUCUGCCACAUCACCAGUGCUGGGUGUGGUAGCCAGUGUUUGGUGUUCACUUUAUUCGCAGUGUCUUACUAAGUGUUCAUUGCCCCUCUCUCUCUCUCUCUCUCUCUCUCUCUCUCUCUCUCUCUCUCUCUCUCUCUCUCUCUCUCUCUCUCUCUCUCUCUCUCUCUCUCUCUCUCUCUCUCUCUCUCUCUCUCUCUCUCUCUCUCUCUCUCUCUCUCUCUCUCUCUCUCUCUCUCUCUCUCUCUCUCUCUCUGAAAAUGUAUAUGCUCAGAAGUGUUUCUUUUGUGAACAUUACUUGUAUUUCCUUCAUUUUCCUCUAAGUGUGGUAAAGCUGUAUAUAAUUGCUUUGUCAGUUUAUGAACAAUGUAUAGCAUCUAGAGGACAGUGUUUCCAUGCUUGAGUUGUUAAGGCGUUAUGUAUGUUGGCUUACUUCUCAUGUCAGCAUUGCUUCCCAUCCAUUGCUUUUCUACUUUAUAUGCAGUAUUCAUGUUUUUUUAUAUUUUUAUCUUCAGCUUUCUACUGUGAUUCUUGUAAAGUAAUGAAGCAUUGGUACAAGCACCCAAAGUGGUGAUGUCACAAAGUACAGUGAAUUUCAUGUCUGUGAAUUGAGUAUGAAUUAAUAUAUGUAUUAAUAAACUGCUUUAUAUUAACAGUUCCACAAAAAUCAAGAAGAACUUUGAUGUGAUAAGUGGAGGCUCUUGUGUGAUAUUGAUUUUUUGCCUGAAAUGUUUUGUACAGUCUGACAUCACCACUUGAGGCAGCAAGACAGUGGGCAGUGAGUACAGCCAAACACAUACACUAAUGAAUGAUUGGAACAUUACUUUACUGAACCCAAAAGACUUUUUUCUAACACUCCUGAUAGCACUGCACUGCCAUGGCAAGCCCAGGAUGGUGAAUGUUAUUUGUGAAGUACAUGAAAACUGAGCAGUGGUAAGAGAUAAAUUUGCUGAAUGACACUGUUAAGUAUAAUGUUGGAUAGGGAGAGGUGGAGGCUCUUCUGUGGCCAGUGCUUUGAGGUACACUCGGAGGGAACUAGCAGUCAGAGAGGUAAAUUGAUAGAAAUAAAAGUGGCAUUAACAUGUAGUAAAUUAACAAGAAAAUACUGGAUUAAUUUCAUUGAUUAAAUAAAGUGUUGUGCUGUACUCAUCAGGAACACUGAGCAGAUUUCUGAGGAUUUCAGAUGCUAACUUUAUUUACAUGUUGAUACUAUCAUGGAGUUCAAGUGCUAGUCAACAUUUUUUAAUACUAUUUGCUUUACUCUGCAUGUGCUAAUGACGUGAAUUUCUUAGUACAAUUGUUGUUGCCAAAUGGUUCCUUUGCUUGUACCUUUAGUGGGGAUGCUGUGAGGGGCAUCCCUGGUGUAGCACGCAAUAGUUACCAUGUGUUGGGCUGGCUGGGGGUGUUGGAGGAGGAGGGUGAGUGGGAACAAAGUGUAUACAUAUGAUAAUCACCAUUAACCCUUUCACUGCCAUGUGGUGUGUCUUUCGUAAGCUGUAAAGCCCACUGAGACCACCUUGUAUUCUGCACCAUCUCUUGAUACACUGAGGAUAAAUUGAAGCAUUUAUUCUUUCAAGUUCCUUUUUUGUUUAUUUUUUGUAGAUGUUUGUGAACUGCUGCAUACUGCAGUGAAAGGGUUAAUUACUGCUUUCUUUCAGAAUAAUAAUGAUAAUGAUGUAUGUUUGCUUUAUUUACACUCAUCUGUUUCAGGAUAACAAUAAUAAUAUGUACUUUACUUAAUGAUCUUUUUGUUGGAGUGGAGGUUAAGAGAGAGGCACAGGUGUUAUAAGGCAGGAAUACACUCGCCUUGCAAUGCAUGUCUCUCUCUUAACCUACGCCCUCAAUCUCUUUUUUACAAUAUACACAAAAGAGAAACUUGCUUAGGAUUGGUAACACUGAGAGUUGUUUGAUUCUUUGGUUAUAAAAAAUUUGUUUAGGGUUGUGUGUGUGUAAAGUUGAUUACCACGAUUCUUUUGUUUAGGAUGAGAUCUUACAAAAUUACUUAAUGCUUGGUUUAAUCUCUGCAAUAUAGAAGAAAAGAUUUACAUAGGAUUGGCCACUUAGAAGAUUUUUUGUUUAUUUUAUCUUUUUCUCUUUUCUUUUUACUUGUUUGAUUUGAUUUUUAGCAUACAGAAAAGAAUAUUGUGAUGGAUCAGAUGCUUACAAAGUUGUUUAAAAUAUAUAUUCAUAAAAUUCACAAUAAAGAACAUUGACACAUAAUUAAGAUUAACAUACAAAGAAAACGAAUGUGAAAGGAGUUCAUGGAUCAUUGUUGAUUGUUAAAUAGAAAGUCUAUUCACAAUUUGAAAAGCUGUACCUUCAUUUAGUAAUAGUGUGCAUAGCUUUUACUUUCUCCAUUAUAUACAGUAUUGUGGUAUGUGCUAUCAUGACAUGAAUAUAUUUCAGUUUUGGCCAUGCUAAUUUUUCCCAAGAUGUGUUCAUGGAAAAAAAAAAAAAAGCUGCAUAUAUAAAACAGU